RNAcentral lists this long non-coding RNA (2232 nucleotides) under Sus scrofa (pig). RNAcentral describes it as "lncRNA (ENSSSCG00035035529.1)". Lineage: Eukaryota; Metazoa; Chordata; Mammalia; Artiodactyla; Suidae. The record is from RNAcentral.
CUUUUCUCAGUGCGGCCGCUAGAUGGCACACUUGCUCCACCUGAAAAUCCCCGGCGCUGCGGCUGCGGGCGCCGGCGGCUGCACCUCGCGCCUCGGUCCGCCCUGAAUCUACAAAUUGAGCGCUAUCAAAAGUCAUGAAUAAUUUGCGCAGAAUAAAAACAUAGGGUUAAUUAAGGUCAUUUCCCCCAUUUUAUAGAUUUCAGAUGUAGUGGGGUUGACACCCCCUUCCCCUUAAACGACCAAUUUCUGAAUUUCCCCCGGAGGACGGCUCAGGGCUUCUCACGCAGUUUCUAUGUUCCGUGGGACAAAAAAUGCAUGACAACGGUGGAUAAUAGUAAUAAUAGGAAUAGUGGAUCCAAAUAAAACAGGAGGAUUGGUUCAGGAAUGUGAGGUUAUCCGGGGAAGUGGGCGAGAGGAAUGUCUGCGGAUGCGGGUGAGCAGGUCAGGUGAGAGGGGUGAGCAGCAGCAGAAGGUCUGAUGGAGAGGAAGCAGCCCCAACCAGCUGCAGGAUCCGGCGGGAGAGGGAACCGGGAAUUUCUGGCACGGUGUAGGGAUGAUUUAGAACAAGCCAUUGAAUUUCUACCUCACCGCCCCCAACUACAGCCGCCGCCGCCGCCGCCGCCUCAAAAUUCAAUAAAAUGAGCUCUUAUUUCGUCAACUCACUGUUCUCCAAAUACAAAACCGGGGAGUCCCUGCGCCCCAAUUAUUAUGACUGCGGCUUCGCCCAGGACCUGGGCGGCCGACCCACCGUGGUGUACGGUCCCAGCAGCGGCGGCAGCUUCCAGCACCCGUCGCAAAUCCAGGAGUUCUACCACGGGCCGUCGUCGCUGUCCACGGCUCCCUACCAGCAGAACCCGUGCGCCGUGGCGUGCCACGGGGACCCGGGCAACUUCUACGGCUACGACCCGCUGCAGCGGCAGAGCCUGUUCGGUGCGCAGGAUCCAGACCUGGUGCAGUACGCCGACUGCAAGCUCGCCGCCGCCAGCGGCCUGGGCGAGGAGGCCGAGGGUUCGGAGCAGAGCCCGUCGCCCACGCAGCUCUUCCCCUGGAUGCGCCCGCAAGCCGCCGGACGCAGGCGAGGCCGACAGACCUACAGCCGCUACCAGACCCUGGAGCUGGAGAAGGAGUUCCUAUUUAAUCCCUAUCUGACUCGCAAGCGGCGGAUCGAGGUAUCACAUGCGCUGGGACUAACAGAGAGACAGAUCAAAAUCUGGUUCCAGAACCGGAGGAUGAAGUGGAAAAAAAGAGAACAAAGAUAAGUUCCCCAGCAGCAAAUGCGAGCAGGAGGAGCUGGAGAAGCAGAAGCUGGAGCGGGCCCCGGAGGCGGCAGACGAGGGUGAUGCGCAGAAAGGCGACAAGAAGUAGGCUCCAGCUGGGACUGCCAGGGCCGCGGCCGCGCUGCGUCCGCGGGUCCCCAGACCGCGCUGCUGUCGCCCGCCCCCGCCCGAGAGAGCUCUGGCCCCGCGAGCGGGGCCGGGAGCCUGGCCUCCCACCGCAGCGUCCCCGCCGCGCCAGUCCCCGCUAGUGGUAGUAUCUCGUAAUAGCUUCUGUGUGUGAGCUACCGUGGAUCUCCUUCCCUUCUCUUGGGGGGCCGGGGGCAGGGGGAGAAAAAAGGAUUUUAAGCAAGGACUCCCUCGCCCUGCGAGGGUGAGCGGCUGCGGCCUGGCUGAGCCCCCCCCUACGCCCCCGCCCCAUGUAAAAAGCCUCCUUGUGCAAUGGUCUUUUUUUUUCCUUUGAACGUGCUUCUUUGUAAUGACCGAGGUACCGAUUUCUGCUAAGUUCUCCCAACAACAUGAAACUGCCUAUUCACACCGUAAUUCUUUCUGUCUCCCUCUCUCGCUUUCUCUCUGUCUCUCUCUCUCUCUCUCUCACCUCGUCCUCAUUUCCCCCUCCCACCCUCUCUCCCCGCUGCCCUCCCUAGCUCGCUGGCUUUUUCUCUGGCUUCUGUCUUUUCCUCCCCCCCCCACCCCCCGCUUUGGUUUGACAAUUUUGUCUUAAGUGUUUCUCAAAAGAGGUUACUUUAGUUAGCAUGCGCGCUGUGGGCAAUUGUUAAAAGUGUUCUUAGGUUUACUGUGAAGAGAAUGUAUCCUGUAUCCGUGAAUUGCUUUAUUGGGGGGAGGGAGGGCUAAUUAUAUAUUUUGUUGUUCCUCUAUACUUUGUUCUGUUGUCUGCGCCCGAAAAGGGCGGAAGAGUUACAAUAAAGUUUACAAGCGAGAACCCGAGACUGGCUCG